CCUACGGGAGGCAGCAGUGAGGAAUAUUGGUCAAUGGGCGAGAGUCUGAACCAGCCAAGUAGCGUGAAGGAUGACUGCCCUAUGGGUUGUAAACUUCUUUUAUAUGGGAAUAAAACGUUCCACGUGUGGGAUUUUGUAUGUACCAUAUGAAUAAGGAUCGGCUAACUCCGUGCCAGCAGCCGCGGUAAUACGGAGGAUCCGAGCGUUAUCCGGAUUUAUUGGGUUUAAAGGGAGCGUAGGUGGAUUGUUAAGUCAGUUGUGAAAGUUUGCGGCUCAACCGUAAAAUUGCAGUUGAAACUGGCAGUCUUGAGUACAGUAGAGGUGGGCGGAAUUCGUGGUGUAGCGGUGAAAUGCUUAGAUAUCACGAAGAACUCCGAUUGCGAAGGCAGUUCACUGGACUGCAACUGACACUGAGGCUCGAAAGUGUGGGUAUCAAACAGGAUUAGAUACCCCGGUAGUC
RNAcentral lists this ribosomal RNA (460 nucleotides) under uncultured bacterium. RNAcentral describes it as "partial 16S ribosomal RNA". It matches the Rfam family "Bacterial small subunit ribosomal RNA", at positions 338 to 795 of the family's 1533-position model. The record is from RNAcentral.